Molecule: ribosomal RNA, 424 nt
Filed under: uncultured prokaryote
Description: bacterial SSU rRNA
Rfam family: Bacterial small subunit ribosomal RNA
Source: RNAcentral
UGGGGAAUAUUGGACAAUGGGGGCAACCCUGAUCCAGCCAUGCCGCGUGAGUGAUGAAGGCCUUAGGGUUGUAAAGCUCUUUCGCCGGUGAAGAUAAUGACGGUAACCGGUAAAGAAGCCCCGGCUAACUUCGUGCCAGCAGCCGCGGUAAUACGGAGAGAGCUAGCGUUGUUCGGAAUUACUGGGCGUAAAGCGCACGUAGGCGGCCAAUCAAGUCAGGGGUGAAAUCCCGGGGCUCAACCCCGGAACUGCCCUUGAAACUGGUAGGCUAGAAUACUGGAGAGGUGAGUGGAAUUCCGAGUGUAGAGGUGAAAUUCGUAGAUAUUCGGAAGAACACCAGUGGCGAAGGCGACUCACUGGACAGUUAUUGACGCUGAGGUGCGAAAGCGUGGGGAGCAAACAGGAUUAGAUACCCGCGUAGUCC